GUGAUCUCUUCAGCAGCACAUAUACUAAAAUUGGAAUGAUACAGAGAUUAGCAUGGUUCCCACACGAGAAUGAUACACAAAUUUGUGAAGGGUUCUAUAUUUUU
Small nuclear RNA from Nomascus leucogenys (northern white-cheeked gibbon), 104 nucleotides. The record is from Ensembl. NCBI's taxonomy places the organism in Eukaryota, Metazoa, Chordata, Mammalia, Primates, Hylobatidae.